AUGGGGCAAAUUUUACCAGACAGCCAAAUUUUACCAGACCUGCAAAGAAAAGCUGGUACUCACACUGCAGAAGAAGAGCUGGUUUCCCUUGGGGGCUUUGAAUAAUACCACCAGUGGUCUUACGGGUGAAGUGUGGUUCAGGGCCUGUGCAUAUUAGUGGGCAGCACUUAGUAGCUGUGGAAGAAGAUGCAGAGUCAGAAGAUGAAGAGGAGAAGGAUGUGAAACUCUUAAGUAUAUCUGGAAAGCGAUCUGCCCCUGGAGGUGGUAGCAAGGUUCCACAGAAAAAAGUAAAACUUGCUGCUGAUGAAGAUGAUGAUGAUGAUGAGUUUGAUGAUGAGGAUACUGAAGAAAAAUCUCCAGUGAAGAAAUCUGUACGAGACACUCUAGCCAUAAAUGUACAGAAAUCAAACCAGAAUGGAAAAGACAAAACCAUCAACACCAAAGGGUCAAGAAUCCUUCAAAAAGCAGGAAAAAACUCCUAAAAUGCCAAAAGGACCUAGUUCUGUAGAAGACAUUAAGGCAAAAAUGCAAGCAAGUAUAGAAAAGGGUGGUUCUCUUCCCAAAGAGGAAGCGAAGUUCAUCAAUUAUGUGAAGAACUGGUUGAGUGUGACUGACCAGGAGGCUAUUCAAUAUCUCUGGCAGUGGAGGAAGUCUCUUUAAGAAAACAGUUUAAACAGUUUGUUAAAAUUUUCCGUCUUGUUUCAUUUCUGUAACAGUUGAUAUCUGGCUGUCCUUUUUAUAAUGCAGAGUGAGAACUUUCCCUACCAUGUUUGAUAAAUGUUGUCCAGGAUCCAUUGCCAAGAAUGUGUUGUCCAAAAUGCCUGUUUAGUUUUUAAAGAUGGAACUCCACCCUUUGCUUGGUUUUGAGAAUGUAUGGAAUGUUAUGAUAGGACAUAGUAGUAGCAGUGGUCAGACAUGGAAAUGGUGGGGAGACAAAAAUAUACAUGUGAAAUAAACCCAGUAUUUUAAUAAA
RNA transcript from Lemur catta (Ring-tailed lemur), 973 nucleotides. It is a transcript of the gene named nucleophosmin-like, with no coding region annotated. Lineage: Eukaryota; Metazoa; Chordata; Mammalia; Primates; Lemuridae. The record is from RefSeq and is a predicted model, not a curated record. The transcript has 2 exons.